Long non-coding RNA from Poecile atricapillus (Black-capped chickadee), 1478 nucleotides. RefSeq lists it as uncharacterized. The record is from RefSeq and is a predicted model, not a curated record. The transcript is spliced from 2 exons. Lineage: Eukaryota; Metazoa; Chordata; Aves; Passeriformes; Paridae.
CCGCCUCAGGGCGGAGCGGCCGGGCCGGGGCCGUGUGGCCGCCUCAGGGCGGAGCGGCCGGGCCGGGCACCGCGGCGGGCGAGCAGAGGCUGCGGGCACGGCUGGCGCUCGCCCGCGGCAGCGGAGAAACCGAGAUGGGUGACGCGGUCGGGUUCCUUUGUGGAGAGACGAAUGCAGUGAUUUGAUCCUGACUUGCUGCCUGGAACAACCUGUUUUAACGUGUGAAAAGAUCUGAGGAAGACUUUAAUAUGAAGAUAUUUCAUCAAAGGAUGAUGGAGAUUACUUCUUUCUUCAGUAACCUGAGCUUCUGCAAGCACUGAACUUGACUGGAAGUUGCUUUUGGCAGUGCAGCAAGAGCCAUUGUGGCUGUACCCGAGCCUGGCCACACUGCAGAGCUGCAGCAGUCACUGCUGGCCUGACACGUUUUCUGUAGGGCUCUACCACAGCCUUACCCCCUGCUCUUGAGAUGGCCAAGCCUCUCAUUUUAGGAGAACAAACCUACAGGAUUCUUUCCAACCCAUGUUUUGCCAGUCACCUUCCCAAUGUUUUGAUACCUCUUCCCAAUUUCCUAUGCUGGUUUUGCCUUCUGAGUCCAUUCAUGACAGAGGUCACAGGGCUGACACCGUGAAUGGUUUCAAGCAUCAGCACUUUACUGCCCCCCAGUACAACCUUUACAGCCUUUUCCCUAAUCUGUGAAAUUCCCUUUCACUCUUUUGUGAUUGGUAUAUAGAAAUGAGCAUUCCCUGCUCCUUUUCCUUUGUAUGGUCACCUGUCUUACACCAGCUGCACAUUAAUGGGGUGAGAUUGCCUGCAGCACUCUCUCUUCUUUUACAAUCCAUUCUCCCACACAUUCUCUUCUCAUCACAAUACCCUGGACUAACCAAUAUUUCACAUCCACCCCCUGCUUUUUACUUUUCCCAGUUUUCUUUCAAGUUUACUCGUCUGUGCGGCCUCCAGUUUGUUUUUAUUCCCCUUAGUAGGACAGAAAGAUGAGCAGGGAAAACACCUAGACUGGGAGGCAGAACGGAUCAAAGGAGAGAGACUGCACAAGGGGCAGAAUCCAACAAGUUAAAUCACCCAAAAAACCAGGAGGGAGUUUCCUCCUUGUAACACCAAGCCCCACCCUGGAACUUCUUGUAAACUAAAUAAACCACAGUGAACUAUUCAAAAGGCAAAUGUUUAUUAGAUACACUGAACUUUAAAAAACUUUAAAGAAUUAUGCAAGAAGUAUAUUUAAAUAUAACAGGUGUUAUUGCAAUUGUGCUACAUUACAAAAUCAUUUUUCUACUGUCAGCACAAUCUGAAGACCUUAAUGUUAUAUGUGAGAUCCGUUACAUUGACUCUGGCACACAGUAAGUGGUCUGAGCUUUCCUGUUCAAAUGUCAUUUGUGCUGCACCAGGCUGUUCUUGAGGGCAAGAUCAGCUCUCCAUGGAACUACAGCUUUUGUGUUUCAGCAAAUAAAGGAACUGGCAAAGAA